UUGCAACCCUAAAUUAAAUACGAAACACGCGAAAACAUACCGAACUCGAUUAGUGACCGUAUUUAAGCUUUAUGUAGUGAUGUAAUUGCGAGAUGAAGUGGAGUUGUGC
Molecule: ribosomal RNA, 109 nt
Filed under: Oltmannsiellopsis viridis
Lineage: Eukaryota; Viridiplantae; Chlorophyta; Ulvophyceae; Oltmannsiellopsidales; Oltmannsiellopsidaceae
Source: RNAcentral